UCAUUUCUAGUUUAUGCGUCAGAAUGUUAGUUUGUCGUACUAGAGGAGGUUGUUUGAGCCGAAGUGGG
RNAcentral lists this transfer RNA (68 nucleotides) under Calicophoron microbothrioides. RNAcentral's name for it is "tRNA-Asp". The record is from RNAcentral. Lineage: Eukaryota; Metazoa; Platyhelminthes; Trematoda; Plagiorchiida; Paramphistomidae.